RNAcentral lists this small RNA (28 nucleotides) under Bombyx mori (domestic silkworm). RNAcentral describes it as "ovarian small RNA-25889". The record is from RNAcentral. Lineage: Eukaryota; Metazoa; Arthropoda; Insecta; Lepidoptera; Bombycidae.
UCAUAAUUUUAUGUGUCUUAUGGUUAUU